AGAGUUUGAUCAUGGCUCAGAUUGAACGCUGGCGGCAGGCCUAACACAUGCAAGUCGAGCGGCAGCGGGAAAGUAGCUUGCUACUUUUGCCGGCGAGCGGCGGACGGGUGAGUAAUGCCUGGGGAUCUGCCCAGUCGAGGGGGAUAACUACUGGAAACGGUAGCUAAUACCGCAUACGCCCUACGGGGGAAAGCAGGGGACCUUCGGGCCUUGCGCGAUUGGAUGAACCCAGGUGGGAUUAGCUAGUUGGUGAGGUAAUGGCUCACCAAGGCGACGAUCCCUAGCUGGUCUGAGAGGAUGAUCAGCCACACUGGAACUGAGACACGGUCCAGACUCCUACGGGAGGCAGCAGUGGGGAAUAUUGCACAAUGGGGGAAACCCUGAUGCAGCCAUGCCGCGUGUGUGAAGAAGGCCUUCGGGUUGUAAAGCACUUUCAGCGAGGAGGAAAGGUUGGUAGCUAAUAACUGCCAGCUGUGACGUUACUCGCAGAAGAAGCACCGGCUAACUCCGUGCCAGCCGCCGCGGUAAU
Molecule: ribosomal RNA, 529 nt
Filed under: Aeromonas veronii
Lineage: Bacteria; Pseudomonadati; Pseudomonadota; Gammaproteobacteria; Aeromonadales; Aeromonadaceae
Description: bacterial SSU rRNA
Rfam family: Bacterial small subunit ribosomal RNA
Source: RNAcentral